Molecule: ribosomal RNA, 253 nt
Filed under: uncultured bacterium
Lineage: Bacteria
Description: partial 16S ribosomal RNA
Rfam family: Bacterial small subunit ribosomal RNA
Source: RNAcentral
GACGUAGGGCGCGAGCGUUGUCCGGAAUUACUGGGCGUAAAGAGCUCGUAGGUGGUUUGUCGCGUUGUUCGUGAAAACUCACAGCUUAACUGUGGGCGUGCGGGCGAUACGGGCAGACUCGAGUACUGCAGGGGAGACUGGAAUUCCUGGUGUAGCGGUGGAAUGCGCAGAUAUCAGGAGGAACACCGGUGGCGAAGGCGGGUCUCUGGACAGUAACUGACGCUGAGGAGCGAAAGCGUGGGGAGCGAACAGG